AUAAGUGAAACAGCUCGAGCCGACCCGAGCUAUCUUCUCUCAUUUCCGACCAAAACCAAAAACCCUAGCCUCCGCUUGUUCUCCAUCACAAACCCUAGCCUCCUUCUCCACAUUUCCUUAGGAUUUCCACUUAAUGGCACCCAAAAGAGCUAGGACGACCCGUGGAAGGCGACCUAGGGCAGCGGCCGACGGUGAGGAACGGAGGGAAGAACCUUCCGCGCCGUCUCCUCCGGUUGCUCCGCCAACCACAACCAU
Molecule: long non-coding RNA, 255 nt
Filed under: Phoenix dactylifera (date palm)
Lineage: Eukaryota; Viridiplantae; Streptophyta; Magnoliopsida; Arecales; Arecaceae
Description: long non-coding RNA (PDAC_LNC022883)
Source: RNAcentral